Molecule: microRNA precursor, 206 nt
Filed under: Oryza meridionalis
Lineage: Eukaryota; Viridiplantae; Streptophyta; Magnoliopsida; Poales; Poaceae
Description: MIR812 microRNA precursor family
Rfam family: MIR812 microRNA precursor family
Source: Rfam by way of RNAcentral
AAAAAGACAAACCCUGGGUUUCCGUGUCCAACGUUUGACUGUCCGUAUUAUAAGAAUUUUUUUUAUAAUUUCUAUUUUUAUUGUUGUUAGAUGAUAAACAUGAUCAAUACUUUAUACGUGACUUGUUUUUUUAAUUUUUUUCAUAAUUUUUUUAAAUAAGACGAACGGUCAAACGUUGGACACGGAAACCCAGGAUUUAUCUUUUU